AUAUAUCCUUAUGAUAUCAUAAAGGGGAAAUUUCUACCUCGUUUAAGAACUUAAAGAUCUCCAUGAAAUAGAUACUGGGUUGUAAGUUGUUUCUAGUUAGCAUGUGUUACUGAGAAGGGCAAAGGCCACCAUAUACUCAGGUUGCUUUGUUGGUCUUCCUCUGCAGAGUUAUGCUCUUCUCCUUCCAAGUCCACACUGAGGUGGGAAGCUCCUCCCCACACUCCCCAUUAGGAAGGAUGAGCAUGGCGUCAGAGCCUGUGUCCUGUCAUCAUGGUGCCCUGUGAGCACACUACAACCUGUGUCUGCCCUCUGCCAUGGCCCAUACCUCCCAUGUUGCAUCUAAGCAUUCUGCGAGUAGAUGGAUGUGGGAAGGAUUCUUGAAGUCCCCCUUCAGUACAUGGAGCCUUUUCAAGGAUGAUAAAACAUUUUUUUUUCUUGGCCACUAACAAAGGCUUGCUUGUUAUGUUCUUUCUUCUUUACCUUGGGUCAUGUAUCUGUCAAGUGUUGCUACGAUACCAUGUUGUAGGGUGGAAACCCUUCAUAAGAUUUCACAAUCCUUAAAUAAUUAUAGCCUGUUAAGUACCAAGAGUCACUGUAGAGGCAUUUAUAUAAUCAUGUUGUCUAAAGGGCCUCAUUUCAAGCUGGUUCGUGUGCUGUGAUUUUCCUGGGACCACAGAGCAUUGUUACCUAAUUCCCAGAAGCAGUUGCUUCCUUGAGAGGCUCAAAUCGCCGCUUGCUCCUGACUUCCCAGGCUUGCUCACUUUUGGGGAGAAAGCAGCAUUUUGAUGUCACCGUAUUUUAGCAGCACAAAGCUCUAUGAAAUCAUUGUUUAAGAAAAACUCUGGACAGCCAAGGAAAUGGUUCAGUGGGUUACACACUUGCCACCAAGCCUAAUGGCCUGAGUUGAUCCCUGGGACCCACAUAAAGAUGGUAAGAGAAGAACUACCCCACUGAAUUAUCCUCUGAGCUCCAUAUGUGUGCUGGGGAACAUGUGCCAGCAAUCAUUAAUCCUGCACAUAUAAACCCACACAAUACUGACAAAUACAGUUUUUAAAUUAAGAAAAAAGAAUUUGUAGACUGGACAUGCCAUCCUAGUUCUGGGGAGACUGAGGAAGGUCACAAGGUUAAGCCAGUCUAAGCUACAUAAGGAGAGACCCUGUCUAAAAAUAAUAAUAAUAAAUGACUCUAAGGACCAGAUGUCAGUUUAGUGGUGGAUAUAGUAGGCAUGAUCUGCUGGCUCUGACCCUGAAUACUGG
This 1256-nucleotide long non-coding RNA is filed under the name Mus musculus (house mouse). Its description in RNAcentral is "long non-coding RNA chr10:20214029-20215285". The record is from RNAcentral. Lineage: Eukaryota; Metazoa; Chordata; Mammalia; Rodentia; Muridae.